This 597-nucleotide long non-coding RNA is filed under the name Mus musculus (house mouse). Its description in RNAcentral is "predicted gene, 30313". The record is from RNAcentral. Lineage: Eukaryota; Metazoa; Chordata; Mammalia; Rodentia; Muridae.
CAUGCAUAGUGGGAGGGUCUGAGUGACCAGACAUACAGCAAUCGUGUCAGGCUGGUCUGUGACUUGGACAAGGAAGGCCACCUUCCUCAGUUAGAACAGUAUGUGUUCUAGUGUACCUAUAGAUGACUGUGAAGAUCAAAUGGACUCAGGUGCUGAGAGCUAAUGAAGCCAGCUGGGAGCUAACCUUAAUAUCUGAACUGAAUUUUUCAAAGGCUCAACUGAAAAGAAUUGGAAACAUCAGCCCAGAUGGAGGAAUCUGAAAAUCUUGUUUCCAGUGAUGUUGCACACUGGGGAAGGUCAGACAACAUUCUAGACAUAAAGAGGCUGUGUGCCUCACAUCCCACCAGCUAAGAAGCUCUUUUGCAGGCAUUUUCUUGGCCUUUCUUGGGAAAGUUCCAGAAGCCCUUGAGUCUGGAUCCAUGCCCUAUUCUCGGAAACUCACUGUGUUUUCUGUGUCAUGGUCUUGGCGAGUUGUCUGUCCUCCUCUGCUGUCUUAUCACUGUUCUGAUGGCUUCAUGAGAGUAAGAACUUGCUCAUUCCUAUGUUGGAAGAGAUUACCAAUAAACCUUUGUGCAUAAUAAAUCUUUAUGGAAGCUA